RNAcentral lists this unclassified non-coding RNA (346 nucleotides) under Hevea brasiliensis (rubber tree). Lineage: Eukaryota; Viridiplantae; Streptophyta; Magnoliopsida; Malpighiales; Euphorbiaceae. The record is from RNAcentral.
GUGUUAUACAUGUGUGUGUGUGAAAUAAAAUUCUCCUUGUUAUUAUGCAAAGGAAUAAGAUCUAUAGACACCAAGGCAUCACAACCCAUAUGCAAAAGCAGUGAAUCAUUUGCAUAAUACAGAAAAUCAACAAAAUUUAUGGCUUCUUCUCAACACAUACAUACCCAUAGACAAAAGCAGCAAAUCAAGCUUCUUGUUCUCAAUGUCAUCUUAUACACCACAAAUCAACUUCUACUUAGCACAUUCUCACAACUAAAUGGGCAAACUCUCAAAUCUUUCAUCCUGUAUGUAAAAGUGAAGCAGUUGGUUAAUCUUGUAUCACUUUUGCAAAAGUUCUACUGCUAAA